Long non-coding RNA from Mytilus californianus (California mussel), 1328 nucleotides. RefSeq lists it as uncharacterized. Lineage: Eukaryota; Metazoa; Mollusca; Bivalvia; Mytilida; Mytilidae. The transcript is spliced from 2 exons. The record is from RefSeq and is a predicted model, not a curated record.
UUUUAAUCUGAGGGAUGUUGUUCAAAAUUAAAACAUAUAAUUUCUAUCAUUUUAGUGAUAAUGUUGAUCUUGAAGUUUAUACGUUUCUGGUGAAAUAUUUUCUUGAUUUUGUUUAAACCGUUUCAAUCCUAAAUAAUCAUGAAAUAUUUGCCACUGAACAUUAGUAUCAUCAAACAAAUUGUAAAUUGCUAAAAUUUUAAUGUUUUAUUUGUGAAAUCUAUAACGAUUGCAUUUAUCACCAUUACUGAAGUUAAUAGAAAAAAAUCUGUCUUAAGAUGUACCUUGUUCCGUAAUGUUUCAGAAAUGUGGUAUAAUGAUUUCUACUUCAUAGAAAUAUAAAUGAAUUUGUUAGUUUUAUUAUUUCUAAAUCGCAUGCAAACAUAUACGAUAUAUAUGUGAAACCUGAUCAUAUACACACUUGCAUGUGUAACAGUGUUUUAGAUAUCAAAUAGAGUAUUUAUUUAUUAAAUUCAUUGCAAGAAUGUUGUAAUUUAUAUAUAAUUAUACGGACUCGACUGAAUUUAGUUUUUUGUCCUCGGCAAAACUUUUGCAAAAGAAAACCGAUAUUUGAAAAGUUUGUAGGAGUAAAUAUCAGUCACAAAAACUGACGCUUGAAAUAUAAAAAAAAAUAGGGGGGAUGUAAAAAAAAAGACUAUACCACACAUAAGGAUAUUUAUAAAAGAAAAAGACUAUAAAGAUUAUUGUCUGAAUUACUUGAAGUAGCUUUUCUUUUUAAUAUACAAUUUUACAUUUAAAUAUAAAUUUAUACAUGUUAUAGGUUAGGUAUUUGUGUACUACAGAAGACAAAAUAAUUCAGAGGGCAAAAAUAUAAUACAGAGCUAGGAAUAAUAGAAAUUAUUGACAACAUCCUGGCUAGAAAAUGCAUGGGAAUGGAGAUGGGAAAAAAUGCAUUCUACCAUUUGAUAGCCCAGAAUGAAUAAGUUUAAGAAAAGGUACAUGUAGUGAAAUAACUUUUAUGAAGAUAUGCUAAACUGGAUAUUAAAAGGAUGUAACAUUAGACGGAGCCAGAAAUAGUGACAAAACAAAGUGUAGCAGAAAACAAAAGGAAAACUCUUGUGAAUAAAAACCAUGUUGGAAUACAGAACUAGAAAAAUAGCUGUAUAAAAUGAAUUAUCAAGGCCGUCAUACAGAGCUUGGAUAUUACAACAUAAACUGAUCGAUAUUAUACAAAUGGGAUAAAUGAAUUAUCAUGAAUAGACUUUAAAAUUUUCAUUCUAUAGAUCUGAUUUAGCAACGUAUAGAUACAAAAAAGACUUUUUUUUAAAUUUGCUGGUUGUCUAGCUAAUAAUAAAUUAUAUUUAAUCAUA